AAAUCAUCACUGUUUUAUACCCUUUCUCAUCAUUCGUCAUCACUUUGUAUAUUUAGGAUAGGUUUGCAUGCAUGUUGCACAUUUGUGUUGAUUUCAGGUGAUUUGGAGCUGUUGACGAGCUAAUUGGAAGAAGCGGACCUGAUCAUGCCAAACCACUCGACCCUGAGGUCGAGUAGAAGCUUCAAGACCUCAACAGACCACUCGACCACCAAGUCGAGUAGAAGACAUCACCACUUCACCUCACCACUCGACUGCCUAGCCGAGUACCAUCAGGAGAGCCACUCGACCACAUCACUCGACCCCGAGGUCGAGUGUCUUCACCUCCACCACCUGAUAAUCACUCGACCACAUCACUCGACCACAUCACUCGACCCCGAGGCCGAGUAUCUUCACCUCCAUUACCAGAUCACCACUCGAUCACACCACUCUACCUGGAAGUCGAGUAUCACCAUCACCACCACUCGACUACAUACUCGAUUGCGAGCUUCAGAGUCUUCUUCAUUCCGCACUUAACUAGACACUCGAGCACAAGAAAGAAAAAAAGACUCCAGCUAUUCACUCGACCUCUCACUCGACCACCUGGGUCGAGUACAGUUCUUAAUCCGUCCCAAUGCUGCGUCGUUUUAAGUAUAGGGUUUCGGAAUAUUUUGCUAUA
RNAcentral lists this small RNA (655 nucleotides) under Arabidopsis thaliana (thale cress). RNAcentral's name for it is "ATSL033690". The record is from RNAcentral. Lineage: Eukaryota; Viridiplantae; Streptophyta; Magnoliopsida; Brassicales; Brassicaceae.